Molecule: ribosomal RNA, 253 nt
Filed under: uncultured bacterium
Lineage: Bacteria
Description: partial 16S ribosomal RNA
Rfam family: Bacterial small subunit ribosomal RNA
Source: RNAcentral
UACGGAGGGUGCAAGCGUUAUCCGGAUUCACUGGGUUUAAAGGGUGCGUAGGCGGGCAGGUAAGUCAGGGGUGAAAUCUUCGAGCUUAACUCGGAAACUGCCUUUGAUACUAUUUGUCUUGAAUAUGGUGGAGGUAAGCGGAAUAUGUCAUGUAGCGGUGAAAUGCUUAGAGAUGACAUAGAACACCCAUUGCGAAGGCAGCUUACUACGCCUAUAUUGACGCUGAGGCACGAAAGCGUGGGGAUCAAACAGG